UAGAUAGGACACGCCCCUUUGAGCUGCGUGCUACAGCGAGGCUAAGCUAGUGGGAGCAAAGUUUCAGUGCAUUCUGUUGAUGUAGACGGCGUGAAAACGGAAACAACAAGUAUGCCGGCUCACUGUGCUGCAUACAAUUACACACUACGUCGUACGAUUGAGACAAGGAAACUUGGAAUAACUUUUCAUAGGUUUCCCAGAGACUAUGGGUUGAGGAGGAAUUGGAAGUUUGUCGGCUUAGACCUGGUGUCAUUCCAUCAGUGUUAAACUUCCCGGCUCAUCUUGGAAGAGUACGUGCCAGAAAGACCACGACCAAGCAGCCUUGAGAUCUUAGGCAGCGUCUCCCUGAGACCAAAGAACUACAGACUCUUCACAACCUGCUCAAACUCUUGGUACAGGACCUCACCACACGGGUCAAGAAGGUUUCCGUCUCAUUUCUACUCUGAAGCUCACCUUCUCCUGCUAAAACUGCUGACAAAUGUUUCUGCUGCUCUAAAGUCUGGUCUCCAGAACUUCCUAAAAACUCUCAAAGUCUCUUCUGCUGCAGGUUGCUAUGUAGAUCUGUUCCAGAAAACCUCACUAAACCACAUGGAGGAGCCUCAAGAUAGUCGUCCAAAUGAAACCUUACAAAAACCAAACUAGCACAACCCAAACGCUAAAGUCUCCUGCAGCCUACCAGAGAACCUCUGAGAACAGAGAAUCAGGACAGGAACUCUUACCUUCUGGACAACCAAUGCUGGUUCUCAAACAAGAAUACAGAAUGUGUCUGACCAGAAACCUCUGAAGACUCACUACAGCCAAGAUAAAGACACAACUCAGCUGUACCAAAUCCACUAAUCACUGCACACAUUAGCACCAUGUGCUAACUGUGGCUAAAGAACCACAUUUACCAAGACAACUAUCCAGUACAAAGCCCUAAAACACACCAAGAAACACAUUAAAGACGAUUUUACUGCUGGAAGCUGCAAGCCAACGCCUAAAAAACAAACUAAAGCAACGGAACCAAACCCGGUUCAGUGGUGAACAGAAGCAGAGGAAAUGUUUGUCUGCAGCUAAAUAAAGCAGGAAGACACUGAGCUGCUCAGGUGUUCCUGAUAACACCAAGCUGCUCAGGUGUUCCUGAUAACACCAAGCAGCCACCUGGACAGCCAAUAGGAACACAGCUUCCUGGAAGUCCAGAGGGCUGGGUUAGUGAAGGAAAUUUAGUUUAAAGUUGAAGCAGAAAGUUAACAAAGAAAGUUGAAAACCACCUUCUGAUACCUGAAAUCUCUGAGUUUUCACACAAAGAACACCUGAACAUGUCAAACUGGUUCCAUAGUAGAACCAUCAUUGUAAAAACGUCAUAGUAUGGUGUGUUGCUCAAAAAACAUUAGGACCCGGCUGUCAGGGGACAAACAUGUAAGAACAUGAGAACAGAGAGAACCCAACCAGUAGGUCACAGUUUAUCAUCCCCCAGUCAUCUCCUGAAGUCCAUAUGGUGAGAGACAUCAGUAUCUGGUUGUUCAUUUACCAGAGGAUGCUUAUAAUCAUGCUGAUGUGGUCUGUACUCUGCAGUAUUUUAGUGACUCAAUAAAUGCCUAAGUUGUUUUUUUUAAAAUGCUUUUUAGUUUUUAAUAAACAUUUAACAGCCUAUAUGUAAUCAAUAAAUGGCCUUUGCCUAUCUUAAGAAAAAUUCACUCAGAACUCUGAUAUGUUAACAGUACUAAAUAAAUCAAUAAAUACAUGCAUACACACAUAAAUAAGUUAAUACAUUAACUGUGUUAAGAUAAGAUUUAGAUUUUUAAAAAAGUUGUUUAUGUUUUUGCAGAAUCCAGUAUUGCACACUGGUUGGUCAUUACAUUUUGUUAGUUUGAUUUCACUGUUUAAAAUGAUGCCACCUCUUUUCACACAGAACCUGUGAUUAUAAAACAAUACAAAAUUUUUAGUUCCGUGUUAAUAAAGCACUUAAAGCUUUAAGUAUGGCUAAAUGCUUUUUUCAGAAUUAAAUAUAUCACUCCUUAGGUGGUAGUGGCCCAAAGUUCAGUAAAGUUGGAAAGAUAUUCACAGAUUCAGACUUCCAGCAUCAAUAACUCAUUAGAUAUAGGUUGUCAAAACAUAAACAGUGCCUCUUUCCCAUUGUUGCAAGGCAGACAAUGUGCUACAAGCCCAGUUUUAUCAAAAGUAGCUGUCUUUCAAGCUACAGGAAUAACAUUGGUGUCUAUGGAGUGAACAGGGUCCGUCUGCAAUUUGCAAAACCACUGCAACAGUAAAGAGAGACAAAUAUUCAAUAACUUCACUCUUAUACAUUGUAGUGUCACUAAAAUCACUGCAGCCUUCAACUGGCUCCUGUUGACAAAGUGUUUUAACAGAAAUGUAAAUGCUGUAAUUUGAUUCUUUUAAUGAACCAUGUAACUUGAAUGGAUGUGAUGCUGGUGUGACCACAGUGCACACGUCUGAUGUUGCUCACAGUGGUCCAAGGGACGCUCAGGGAGUUUGUGUGUUUGCUCACACUCAGGAAAAAUUACAGGGA
Molecule: long non-coding RNA, 2509 nt
Organism: Amphiprion ocellaris (clown anemonefish)
Lineage: Eukaryota; Metazoa; Chordata; Actinopteri; Pomacentridae
Exons: 3
Source: RefSeq, a predicted model, not a curated record